This 347-nucleotide ribosomal RNA is filed under the name uncultured eukaryote. RNAcentral's name for it is "partial 18S ribosomal RNA". It matches the Rfam family "Eukaryotic small subunit ribosomal RNA", at positions 1469 to 1796 of the family's 1831-position model. The record is from RNAcentral.
CCCUUUAGAUGUUCUGGGCUGCACGCGCGCUACACUGAUACGAACAACGAGUACUGAAGACCUGGUCCGAAAGGAUUGGGUAAACUUUUGAAAUCGUAUCGUGCUGGGGAUCGAUAAUUGCAAUUAUUUAUCGUGAACGAGGAAUUCCUAGUAAGCGCAAGUCAACAGCUUGCGCUGAUUACGUCCCUGCCCUUUGUACACACCGCCCGUCGCUCCUACCGAUGUUUGGUCCGGUGAAAUCUUAGGAUUCGUGGCAUACACUUGUUUUGUUGCUUUUGUGAUGAGAUGAGUUUGCUGUGGAGAAUUUGAGUAAACCUUGCCAAAUAGAGGAAGGAGAANUCGUAACA